This 64-nucleotide ribosomal RNA is filed under the name Staphylococcus aureus. Its description in RNAcentral is "partial 16S ribosomal RNA". It matches the Rfam family "Bacterial small subunit ribosomal RNA", at positions 1 to 64 of the family's 1533-position model. Lineage: Bacteria; Bacillati; Bacillota; Bacilli; Caryophanales; Staphylococcaceae. The record is from RNAcentral.
UUUAUGGAGAGUUUGAUCCUGGCUCAGGAUGAACGCUGGCGGCGUGCCUAAUACUUGCAAGUCG